AGAACUGUCGAUCCCUCCACUAUAUAAGUAGCAGCUUCAGUCUCCUGCAACUGCAAGAAGAAAACGAGAAAGAAAAUGACGGCCACAAGAGCAGCAGUGAUGAAGUUGGCGAUCGUCCUCCUGGCGAUGAGCCAGCUCGUCCACAUGGCGACGCCAACGGCGGAUCCAAUGACUACUACAUCAUCGUCCCUACUGGUCACGAGCGUUUGCGGCCCUUCUAGCGGUUAGUCAUCACCUCAAGUUCAUACUAGAGCACUGGUAAUUAGCUUGGUUGAUUAGUUAGCUACUGAUGAGAGGUACUACAAGAAACUGAGAUAGUUGAUUUUUGUCUUGGCCAGGGGGAGUCAAUCCUCAACCCAGUCAUGGCAUCAGGGAAGAGAAGGUGCUGCUCGAUGCGGCCAAGCCCAGCAUCCCUGUUCCGCCCCCUCCCCACCUCAUCCUACCGUGCAAGGGAAGAGCCUGUUGACCUCAAGGCCGGGGACGGUCAAAGUCAAGUGCAGCUGGAGCUCCAAGUGCCGAGAGCAAUAGAAUGCCCCCAGCUUCCUCUGUAUUGUACUCGAUCGUUUAUGAUCGACUCAUGGAAUAAAAUAAGCGCAACCUUGUUUUAUACUGUAUCUACUAUCUCGUUUUGCCUGAAAAAGGUUUGUCAAGUUUAUGAACUCUA
RNAcentral lists this long non-coding RNA (664 nucleotides) under Triticum aestivum (bread wheat). RNAcentral's name for it is "long non-coding RNA (TAES_LNC023151)". The record is from RNAcentral. Lineage: Eukaryota; Viridiplantae; Streptophyta; Magnoliopsida; Poales; Poaceae.